GUGCUUGCUUCGGCAGCACAUAUACAAAAAUUGGAACGAUGCAGUGAAGAUUAGCAUGGCCCCUGCACAAGGAUGACACGCAAAUUCGUGAGGCAUUCCAUGUUUUU
This is a small nuclear RNA of Saimiri boliviensis boliviensis (Bolivian squirrel monkey), 107 nucleotides long. The record is from RefSeq and is a predicted model, not a curated record. Lineage: Eukaryota; Metazoa; Chordata; Mammalia; Primates; Cebidae.